This 253-nucleotide ribosomal RNA is filed under the name uncultured bacterium. Its description in RNAcentral is "partial 16S ribosomal RNA". It matches the Rfam family "Bacterial small subunit ribosomal RNA", at positions 524 to 776 of the family's 1533-position model. The record is from RNAcentral.
UACGGAGGGAGCUAGCGUUGUUCGGAAUUACUGGGCGUAAAGCGCGCGUAGGCGGCCUGCUAAGUCGAACGUGAAAUCCCCGGGCUCAACCCGGGAACUGCGUCCGAUACUGGCAGGCUUGAAUCCGGGAGAGGGAUGCGGAAUUCCAGGUGUAGCGGUGAAAUGCGUAGAUAUCUGGAGGAACACCGGUGGCGAAGGCGGCAUCCUGGACCGGUAUUGACGCUGAGGCGCGAAAGCCAGGGGAGCAAACGGG